RNAcentral lists this ribosomal RNA (1437 nucleotides) under uncultured organism. RNAcentral describes it as "16S ribosomal RNA". It matches the Rfam family "Bacterial small subunit ribosomal RNA". The record is from RNAcentral.
CGCUGGCGGCAGGCCUAACACAUGCAAGUCGAACGGUAACAGGAAGCAGCUUGCUGCUUUGCUGACGAGUGGCGGACGGGUGAGUAAUGUCUGGGAAACUGCCUGAUGGAGGGGGAUAACUACUGGAAACGGUAGCUAAUACCGCAUAACGUCGCAAGACCAAAGAGGGGGACCUUAGGGCCUCUUGCCAUCGGAUGUGCCCAGAUGGGAUUAGCUAGUAGGUGGGGUAACGGCUCACCUAGGCGACGAUCCCUAGCUGGUCUGAGAGGAUGACCAGCCACACUGGAACUGAGACACGGUCCAGACUCCUACGGGAGGCAGCAGUGGGGAAUAUUGCACAAUGGGCGCAAGCCUGAUGCAGCCAUGCCGCGUGUAUGAAGAAGGCCUUCGGGUUGUAAAGUACUUUCAGCGGGGAGGAAGGGAGUAAAGUUAAUACCUUUGCUCAUUGACGUUACCCGCAGAAGAAGCACCGGCUAACUCCGUGCCAGCAGCCGCGGUAAUACGGAGGGUGCAAGCGUUAAUCGGAAUUACUGGGCGUAAAGCGCACGCAGGCGGUUUGUUAAGUCAGAUGUGAAAUCCCCGGGCUCAACCUGGGAACUGCAUCUGAUACUGGCAAGCUUGAGUCUCGUAGAGGGGGGUAGAAUUCCACGUGUAGCGGUGAAAUGCGUAAAGAUCUGGAGGAAUACCGGUGGCGAAGGCGGCCCCCCUGGACGAAGACUGACGCUCAGGUGCGAAAGCGUGGGGAGCAAACAGGAUUAGAUACCCUGGUAGUCCACGCCGUAAACGAUGUCGACUUGGAGGUUGUGCCCUUGAGGCGUGGCUUCCGGAGCUAACGCGUUAAGUCGACCGCCUGGGGAGUACGGCCGCAAGGUUAAAACUCAAAUGAAUUGACGGGGGCCCGCACAAGCGGUGGAGCAUGUGGUUUAAUUCGAUGCAACGCGAAGAACCUUACCUGGUCUUGACAUCCACGGAAGUUUUCAGAGAUGAGAAUGUGCCUUCGGGAACCGUGAGACAGGUGCUGCAUGGCUGUCGUCAGCUCGUGUUGUGAAAUGUUGGGUUAAGUCCCGCAACGAGCGCAACCCUUAUCCUUUGUUGCCAGCGGUCCGGCCGGGAACUCAAAGGAGACUGCCAGUGAUAAACUGGAGGAAGGUGGGGAUGACGUCAAGUCAUCAUGGCCCUUACGACCAGGGCUACACACGUGCUACAAUGGCGCAUACAAAGAGAAGCGACCUCGCGAGAGCAAGCGGACCUCAUAAAGUGCGUCGUAGUCCGGAUUGGAGUCUGCAACUCGACUCCAUGAAGUCGGAAUCGCUAGUAAUCGUGGAUCAGAAUGCCACGGUGAAUACGUUCCCGGGCCUUGUACACACCGCCCGUCACACCAUGGGAGUGGGUUGCAAAAGAAGUAGGUAGCUUAACCUUCGGGAGGGCGCUUACCAC